GGUGGGUUAUAUCAGUGUGUUGCAAGAUUAGUUCCUAGCAUUGAGGUUCAAGAUAAGAUUAUUCAUGAAUUAUCUUUAUAUAAAAAUGCUGAAGGUCUUUUUGGAAUUCCAAUUGUCGUUCGAUCUAGGACAACUACCUCUCCAGAUAUUAAUAAUUUGAUAUAAUUAAUUUCAUAUAUAUUAUGUUACUAUGUUAUUGCUAAUAAUAACAUAAAUUUUGCAGCUGAAUGGUGGAGUCUAUUUGGAAAUUCCACCCCGAACUUACAGAAAUUUGCUGUCAAAGUACUUAGUUUGACAUGUAGUGCUUCGGGUUGUGAGCGAAACUGGAGUGUCUUUGAGCAUAUUCACUCGAAGAGAAGAAAUCGGUUAGAACAUCAACGAUUGCACGAUCUUGUUUACAUAAAGUAUAAUCAAGCUUCGAAGACUCGUCAUGAUUUGAAAAAUAGAUUUGAUUCAAUCUCAUUGCAAGAUAUUGAUGAUUCAAAUGAGUGGUUAGUAGGAGAAAUGGGUGCUAACUUGCAAGAUGCUGAAGACGAGCUUGUAUUUGAAGAUGAUAGAUUGACGUGGGGAGAUGUGGCAAGAGCUUCAGGUGCUGGAGAAUUACAAACAUAUACAAGACAGAUGUCAAAGAGAAAAAUGAGUGCAAAAGCAUCAAGCUCGGCUCCUGCUAUUGUUGAAGACAUAGAGAAUGAAACAUAUCUUGAUGAAGAGGAAGGAAUCGAAGAACAAGAGGAAGAAGACGAAUUCAAUGAAGAUGAUUUGUGUGAAAAUGACGAUAAUAUUGAUUAUGAUGAAUGACUUUGAUGUAAAAUGUUAAUGUUUUGAAUUUUGAAA
Musa acuminata AAA Group (dessert banana) is the source of this 834-nucleotide long non-coding RNA. RefSeq lists it as uncharacterized. The transcript has 2 exons. The record is from RefSeq and is a predicted model, not a curated record. Lineage: Eukaryota; Viridiplantae; Streptophyta; Magnoliopsida; Zingiberales; Musaceae.